GGUAAAGGGCACACAGGAACUGCAGGUCCUAUUUUUACAGCUUCGGUUAGUCUAAAAUUAGCUCAAAAUUAAAAUGAAAUAACAGAUGAAAACACCUGAAAGGAAUCUACGCGUGAGCCGGUGUGGAGACCCCCAAACCCCAGGGGGGAGAAGGAAGAGCAGGAACAGCAGCAUAGUCACAGGGGAACCGGAAGCAGACAGUCGGGAGCCCACACAUCAGGAAUGAAAAAGUUCCAGCUCGGAAGUUGAUCAAGGAGAUCCACACUGAAACAAGGAUUCGGCCUGGUCUUCAAACCUGCUCUUAACCCUGCGCGCCAGUCACCAGAAGAGAACAUAGGAGAAAAGACACACACCACUGAUCUGGAAUUCUGGGAUGGUGAUCUCUGCAUUCCUGGAGAGUGGCAAACUCCGCAGAUGAACUUUCAGGACCCACCACUAGGUGGUACACUGCUUCUCCAAUGCACCUUUCAGACGUUUGAAGCUUUGUGCGCUCUGCGUACUUCGGUGACCCCUCACCCAGCCCCGCAUUUUGUUUUUUUCUUUCACGUAAAAAAUCGUUUACAUUCCCGAGGAACUGAAUAGCCGUUUUCUCAGUUUUCUUAUGGUAGGCACUAAAUAUUUCCUGGACAGAUAAGAGACAAAAAUCCAAGCGGCAAAAGCCUAGUCAGUUGACAGCUUCGCGUUUUGUCAACUUCCUAAACAAAGCCAAGCUGGCUUUUAUGAAGCCCUUUGUCGCUCUUCAAAAGGAGAGGGAGAGGCUCGGCAUUCUCCAAGCAUAUUUGAAUCUGUGUAUAUUUUUAUUAAUUAUACAUGUAUUUUAUCUGUGGACUAUUUAAAGCCUUGAAGGAAUCCUGCCCUCAACACCUGUCCCUGUAUGAAAACACCUGCGGUCACGGCUGAAGGCUCAGCCUUCUUCCCUCCUGACUACAGAUGUCAUCUGUCUUGUGUUCAUACUGCCCAGAACCACAGACUGUCAACCGCUAUUAUGUAGCCACAGUGGCCCUGCAAUCUGUCGACGAAUCCCCUGUCUCUAAAGCCCUGCUCUCUGAGCUGUGCUAGCCUUACCACAGGGUUCUUAAAUAGAUGAUUGUCCUCUGAAAUAAAUCCAAUACAAGGACAAGAAGGGGCCUCUUCUCCAGUGCCCAGUUCAUGUGGAAAAAUAGAAUAUCGUAUCCCUGGGAAAGACUGUUACAUACAGCAGUAUGAGUUAACUAGAAAUUCAUCAAGGAAAACUUUGUAAAUGUCCUCACUAUUUAAAGAAAAUGAAACAGCAGAAGCAGUGUAGUGGUACAAACAUUUGAUCCCAGCACUUGAGAGGCAAAGACUGGUGACUCUCUAAGAGUUCAAGGCUACCCUGAUCUACACAGCAAGUUCCAGGACAUGCAGAGCUACACAGAGAAAUCCUCUCUUUAAAGAAAAAGAAGGUGGAAGAAGAGGAUGAAGAAGAAGAUGACAAAGAAAGGGAUGGAAGAAGGAAGAGAGAGAGAGAAACAGAGGGGUGAUAAAUAAAGAAAAGAGCAACCAGAAAGGCAAAUAUCCCUUAUUAAACUGAUAUAGUCAUAUUGCUGCUUAGAAAUAGUCUACAAAAGUGAUGAUCAUUGCCUAAGCACCUGUUAUCUUCUCCACUAGACUGUAAACCAACUGGAAAAAGGGAACCAAGUAUAAGCCAUCUCAGCCUUCCCCUCCCCCCAAUAAUUAGCAUGGUACCCAGAACACUGUAGGCCUUAUGAAGUAUUUUAAAAAUGAACAAUGUCAUUAAUGAGUAAACAGAAUGGUGUGCUUCUUAGUGAGUUAGGAGUGUCUUAAUUCCAACAUUUUAAAACUCAUUUUAAGAUAUGCUCAUCACAAAAUCACUUUCUCAUUUCCUCGAAACUCUUUCCAAGUAGAUUCUGUGGAUCAGAUAUGAAGAUGGGAGGAAAUAGCUCUGUCUUCACAAAGUGUAGCGUGUAGUGAUUAAAAAUAACUUACAUUUAUUUAUUGCUUCCUCAAGCACUUAAUACAACCCAAUGAGACUGAUACAUCCUCCCCAGCUACUUGUUUUAAAUUGUUGUAAAGUAAUAGUAAGCUCAAAGGAUCCUAUAAAAUACGUAUAAGAUAUAAAGAACAGUGAUGUCACAAAUGCCUUUGAAGAUGCUGUGCAACUUAAAAACAACAACAUUUACGUUCUCUGUGGACCCUUUCCUUCCCCUAAGUGGAAACUAUCCUGAACUUUCUUUUUAACUCUGCUUAAUUUCCAUCUAUAUUUAACCACAUAUGCUUUGCUAAAUAAUAAAUUCCACAGUUAUGCAAA
Meriones unguiculatus (Mongolian gerbil) is the source of this 2290-nucleotide long non-coding RNA. RefSeq lists it as uncharacterized. The transcript is spliced from 2 exons. The record is from RefSeq and is a predicted model, not a curated record. NCBI's taxonomy places the organism in Eukaryota, Metazoa, Chordata, Mammalia, Rodentia, Muridae.